Molecule: ribosomal RNA, 253 nt
Filed under: uncultured bacterium
Lineage: Bacteria
Description: partial 16S ribosomal RNA
Rfam family: Bacterial small subunit ribosomal RNA
Source: RNAcentral
UACAGAGGUCCCAAGCGUUGUUCGGAUUCAUUGGGCGUAAAGGGUGCGUAGGUGGCGCCGUAAGUCGGGUGUGAAAUUUCGGAGCUUAACUCCGAAACUGCAUUCGAUACUGCGGUGCUUGAGGACUGGAGAGGAGACUGGAAUUCCUGGUGUAGCGGUGAAAUGCGCAGAUAUCAGGAGGAACACCGGUGGCGAAGGCGGGUCUCUGGGCCGAUACUGACGCUGAGGAGCGAAAGCGUGGGGAGCGAACAGG